AGAGUUUGAUCCUGGCUCAGGACGAACGCUGGCGGCGUGCCUAACACAUGCAAGUCGAGCGAUGAAGUUCCUUCGGGAAAUGGAUUAGCGGCGGACGGGUGAGUAACACGUGGGUAACCUGCCUUAUAGUGGGGGAUAGCCUUUCGAAAGGAAGAUUAAUACCGCAUAAGAUUGUAGUAUCGCAUGAUAUAGCAAUUAAAGGAGCAAUUCGCUAUAAGAUGGACCCGCGUCGCAUUAGCUAGUUGGUGAGGUAAUGGCUCACCAAGGCGACGAUGCGUAGCCGACCUGAGAGGGUGAUCGGCCACAUUGGGACUGAGACACGGCCCAGACUCCUACGGGAGGCAGCAGUGGGGAAUAUUGCACAAUGGGCGAAAGCCUGAUGCAGCAACGCCGCGUGAGUGAUGACGGCCUUCGGGUUGUAAAACUCUGUCUUCAGGGACGAUAAUGACGGUACCUGAGG
RNAcentral lists this ribosomal RNA (460 nucleotides) under uncultured Clostridium sp. RNAcentral describes it as "bacterial SSU rRNA". It matches the Rfam family "Bacterial small subunit ribosomal RNA", at positions 8 to 484 of the family's 1533-position model. The record is from RNAcentral. Lineage: Bacteria; Bacillati; Bacillota; Clostridia; Eubacteriales; Clostridiaceae.